GUAUCUGAUAAAACAAUUCAAUGCAAAAAGGAAAAAAGGUGGGAUAUACAGAUAAGAAAGAACAAUGAAACCAAAAAUGUAAAUAGGAUGAGUAUUAGUAUACCUCAAACACAGCCUGAAAACUGACAAGGCUGCUAGCAGGCAAAGGAGGAUGGACAAACACUUGGGUUAAAAAAGGAAAUGGGAAAACACUUUUAGACCGAUGAUCAUAUCAUUAU
This 218-nucleotide long non-coding RNA is filed under the name Pan troglodytes (chimpanzee). RNAcentral's name for it is "long non-coding RNA NONPTRT000960". Lineage: Eukaryota; Metazoa; Chordata; Mammalia; Primates; Hominidae. The record is from RNAcentral.